UAUAUUAUGGUGGGCGUCUAUGGGUCCCCUAUAUUAGGUAUGGGUGGCUAUGGUCCCUAUAUAUGACGGUGCGUCUAUGGGGUCCCUAUAUUAUGGGUGGGGGUCUAUGGGGGUCCCUAUAUUAUGGGGGGGGGUCUAUGGGGGUCCCCAUGUUAUGGGUGGGGGUCUAUGGGGUCCCUAUAUUAUGGGUGGGGGUCUAUGGGGUCCCUAUAUUAUGGGUGGGGUCAUGCUCCCUAUAUUAUGUAUGAGUGGGUCUAUGGGGCCUAUAUUAUGUGGGCCUAUGGGUCCCUAUAUUAUGGUAAGGUGGGUCUAUGGGGUCCCUAUAUUAUGGUUGGGGCUAGUCCCUAAUUAUGUGGGGUCUAUGUGGGUCCCUAUAUUAUGGGUGGGGUCUCUGUCUCACCGGGUGCGAACUGUGUCUUCCCAUAGAACCUGGCUCUCCCCGCUCUGUGUCCGGCCACCAGCACCGCGUCCCCCGGGGCCACACGGCGCCCGUCACGGUCCAACCAGGACGCGGCUUUCUUACGGGAUGCUGAGGGAGGGGAGAAAAACACGCCCUGAUUGGCCAGUCCCCACAUUAGCCCCGCCCCCAUUAGCCACGCCACUAAUAAACCCCACCCUCUGAUUGGCCCGUUCCCAUUAGCCCCGCCCCCUUAUUAUCCCUGCCCCC
This 667-nucleotide long non-coding RNA is filed under the name Coturnix japonica (Japanese quail). RNAcentral describes it as "lncRNA (ENSCJPG00005005013.1)". The record is from RNAcentral. Lineage: Eukaryota; Metazoa; Chordata; Aves; Galliformes; Phasianidae.